RNAcentral lists this transfer RNA (77 nucleotides) under Streptomyces griseus. RNAcentral's name for it is "tRNA-Arg". Lineage: Bacteria; Bacillati; Actinomycetota; Actinomycetes; Kitasatosporales; Streptomycetaceae. The record is from RNAcentral.
UCCAGCCCUGGGCCAGGUCCGCGGCCCGGAACUUCUCGGUCCGGGCGUGCUCGGGUUCGGCCUCCCGCUGUCGGAUC